This 495-nucleotide ribosomal RNA is filed under the name uncultured bacterium. RNAcentral describes it as "bacterial SSU rRNA". It matches the Rfam family "Bacterial small subunit ribosomal RNA", at positions 30 to 527 of the family's 1533-position model. The record is from RNAcentral.
AUUGAACGCUGGCGGCAUGCCUUACACAUGCAAGUCGAACGGUAACAGGUCUUUGGAUGCUGACGAGUGGCGAACGGGUGAGUAAUACAUCGGAACGUGCCCGAUCGUGGGGGAUAACGGAGCGAAAGCUUUGCUAAUACCGCAUACGAUCUACGGAUGAAAGCAGGGGACCGCAAGGCCUUGCGCGGACGGAGCGGCCGAUGGCAGAUUAGGUAGUUGGUGGGAUAAAAGCUUACCAAGCCGACGAUCUGUAGCUGGUCUGAGAGGACGACCAGCCACACUGGGACUGAGACACGGCCCAGACUCCUACGGGAGGCAGCAGUGGGGAAUUUUGGACAAUGGGCGCAAGCCUGAUCCAGCCAUGCCGCGUGCAGGAUGAAGGCCUUCGGUUGUAAACUGCUUUGUACGGAACGAAAGAACUUUCUAAUAAAGAGGUCCAUGACGUACCGUAAGAAUAAGACACCGGCAACUACGUGCCAGCAGCCGCGGUAAACG